Ahaetulla prasina is the source of this 1596-nucleotide long non-coding RNA. RefSeq lists it as uncharacterized. The record is from RefSeq and is a predicted model, not a curated record. NCBI's taxonomy places the organism in Eukaryota, Metazoa, Chordata, Lepidosauria, Squamata, Colubridae. The transcript is spliced from 3 exons.
CUUGCGCCUUCCCGGGCUCUUCUUGUCCCUGGGCGCAUCGUUCACGCCAAAGCACCAGCGCCCCGGUCUAUUUAACGCGACCCCGGCUGGCCUGGAGCUGAGGUCUUAAACGAGGUGGCGGCGGGAGAAUGUUCGGUUCGGCGAGAUUUUUAUGGCGUUGCCGUUUUGGUUAUUUCUAGCCAACUCGAAGCAGGCGCCGUGUGGGAUUCUUGCGGGCGCGCUUGUUCCCACCAGCCCACCGCUCACCAUUUUUCCUCCCCAGGACAGGGAAGGGGCAUGACGGUGGCUCCCUCCUCCCCCCUCGGCGCCCCACCACAUAAAGCAGGAGAAAAAGAUAACUCUAGCAUGCUAACAGUUAGGAAAAAGCUGAGAAACUACUGCAGUGCAGAUUGAAAUGAUCUGCGUUUCUAUAACUAUGGCUGGAAUUGGCCUUUUAUUUAGUUAAUUUGUAUCCCUUUUAUAGUUUUCACAAAAACUCAAGAUGGUGAACACAUCCAAUACACAAUCUUCUUCCUAUUUUCCACACAACAGCCCUGUGAGGGGAGUUGGGCUGAGAGUGAUUGGCCCAAGGUCACCCAGCUGAUUUUAUGCCCAACAUGGGACUAGAACUCAGUUUCCCACUUUCUAACCUGGUGCCUUAACCACUAGAGUAAAGUAGCUUUUAUUUAAAAAAGUGUUUAUCUCUUAAUCUAGGAGUAUAUAAUUUGAAUUGCAAAUUUUACUGUAACAGGUGAAAAUGUUUAAAUGUGAUUAUUAAUCAUACUAAUUAUAUGAAUCUAAUUAAUGCAAUCUAAUUUUUUUAAUUCCACUUCCUUUUGGAGCAAAGCCUAUCACACUGAAAUGCCAUGUUCCUGACUUGAAAAUGUUAUAUACUGUAUAUAAAAGCAUAAAUAUGAAUGUUGAUAUAAACAUGUGAUGUGUUCACACAUUUAGUUAACAUUUUUAAUCAGUAAUUCCCCAGAGUUUAUGUAUUUCUACAAACAAACUUGUGAGAAUGUAUAUAAUUUAGCACCAGAAUUACAGAAGAGCAUAUCUAAUUGCAUAUUUUUUAGGCUUUUAAAAAUUGAGAUAUGAAAAAUUAUAUACAGAAAACUCUUCUGAAAGUUUUAUAGCAGUUGCUGGAUGCCUUAAUUUUAAAGAAAAUGUAUUUCAAGCUCAUAGUUUUAAAAAUAUAACCUUAGUUGGAAAAAGCAGAACUACUGGUAUGUGCAUGUCAGGACAUAUUAUAAACUCUCGAAGACUGAUUCUUAUUCACCCCUCCUUUUCCUUCCAAUGAUUAAUGCUAUUCAUGUGUGCCUUUAACUAUUAUGAACCCUUCAACUCUAUUCAAAUCUUAUUUUUUUUCUUAAACUAACACAUUUUCAGCUUGAGAGGCUUUGAUACUAGAACUACUUCCUAAAUUCUUUAAAACUAAAAAAAAUAUAUUAAGUUUUUAUAGAUGCUGGUUAUCAUAAAUCAAAAUUUGAUAUGCAGAUGUUAAAAAUGAAUGAAAUAAAGAAUUUAACAGAAUAAUAGAGUUGGAAGGGACCCUGGAAGUCUUCUAAUCCAAUCCCCUGCUCAAGCAGGAGACUCUACAGUAUAUACCUGUGAUGGCUA